This 92-nucleotide transfer RNA is filed under the name Trametes cinnabarina. RNAcentral's name for it is "Pycnoporus cinnabarinus tRNA". It matches the Rfam family "tRNA". Rfam says of the family: Transfer RNA (tRNA) molecules are approximately 80 nucleotides in length. Their secondary structure includes four short double-helical elements and three loops (D, anti-codon, and T loops). Further hydrogen bonds mediate the characteristic L-shaped molecular structure. tRNAs have two regions of fundamental functional importance: the anti-codon, which is responsible for specific mRNA codon recognition, and the 3' end, to which the tRNAs corresponding amino acid is attached (by aminoacyl-tRNA synthetases). tRNAs cope with the degeneracy of the genetic code in two manners: having more than one tRNA (with a specific anti-codon) for a particular amino acid; and 'wobble' base-pairing, i.e. permitting non-standard base-pairing at the 3rd anti-codon position. The record is from Rfam by way of RNAcentral. Lineage: Eukaryota; Fungi; Basidiomycota; Agaricomycetes; Polyporales; Polyporaceae.
GCCGGGAUAGCUCAGCUGGGAGAGCAACAGACUGAAGCUGCUGCCGCACGGUGGAGUUCUGGAGGUCGCGUGUUCAAUCCACGCUCCUGGCA